AUUUCAUUUGUUGAGAGGAGGGCGUUUCCAAAACUGGUUUACCUUUAAUAUCUGAAACGCGACAUACGGAGUCGCUUGUAUAUUAAAAUGAUUUUUGAAUCUAGACCAUGGAAUAGGGGCUUGCUCCAUCCUGGUCACGGGUUGGCCCGGUAUUGCAGAACUUUCGGGAUCGGCCAACCCCUC
Molecule: non-coding RNA, 183 nt
Organism: Strongylocentrotus purpuratus (purple sea urchin)
Lineage: Eukaryota; Metazoa; Echinodermata; Echinoidea; Camarodonta; Strongylocentrotidae
Source: Rfam